Apus apus (common swift) is the source of this 442-nucleotide long non-coding RNA. RefSeq lists it as uncharacterized. The record is from RefSeq and is a predicted model, not a curated record. Lineage: Eukaryota; Metazoa; Chordata; Aves; Apodiformes; Apodidae. The transcript is spliced from 3 exons.
GCGGGCAGGAGCGUUCCCAGCCGCUCUGCGAUGGGAAUGUUGAGAUGUUUGGAAAGCAAACAGAAGGGCUGGAGAAACAGCUGGUUCCUGGUGCCUAAGGGAGCCGCUGUGGGGUCAGGAACUUGUCCCACUUCACAUCCUGCCUCCAGGAAUGGCACUGGCUCCUCCACCAAAUCCUCCUGCCUGCCCUGGGCUCCCGCAGGGAUUCCCAGCGGACAUGGGACGCAGCUACUCACAGGAAGGGGCUGCUGAGCUCCUGGUGACUUGUCCUGCUGCCUCUUCCACCUCCCUGCUGCCAGGAUGCUCCUCCAACAAGGGGAUCUUCCAGACAAAAGCACCUGCCAAGCCCAGGAGCAGUUUUUCCCUGUCUCUGCCAGCUCGGUAUGUGACCCAUUGCCCAGCACCCAGCUCAGCACCAGUGUGGCACCAUCCAUCCUGCCCA